UACAGAGGGUGCAAGCGUUGUUCGGAAUUACUGGGCGUAAAGGGCUCGUAGGCGGCCAACUAAGUCGGACGUGAAAUCCCUCGGCUCAACCGGGGAACUGCGUCCGAUACUGGAUGGCUUGAGUUCGGGAGAGGGAUGCGGAAUUCCAGGUGUAGCGGUGAAAUGCGUAGAUAUCUGGAGGAACACCGGUGGCGAAGGCGGCAUCCUGGACCGACACUGACGCUGAGGAGCGAAAGCGUGGGGAGCAAACAGG
RNAcentral lists this ribosomal RNA (253 nucleotides) under uncultured bacterium. RNAcentral's name for it is "partial 16S ribosomal RNA". It matches the Rfam family "Bacterial small subunit ribosomal RNA", at positions 524 to 776 of the family's 1533-position model. The record is from RNAcentral.